This 966-nucleotide ribosomal RNA is filed under the name Russula sp. BB2004-266. RNAcentral describes it as "LSU rRNA". It matches the Rfam family "Eukaryotic large subunit ribosomal RNA", at positions 1 to 944 of the family's 3401-position model. The record is from RNAcentral. Lineage: Eukaryota; Fungi; Basidiomycota; Agaricomycetes; Russulales; Russulaceae.
CCUGACCUCAAAUCGGGUGAGAAUACCCGCUGAACUUAAGCAUAUCAAUAAGCGGAGGAAAAGAAACUAACAAGGAUUCCCCUAGUAACUGCGAGUGAAGCGGGAAAAGCUCAAAUUUAAAAUCUGGUGGUCUUGGCCAUCCGAGUUGUAAUUUAGAGAAGCGUCUUCCGCGCUGGACCGUGCACAAGUCUCCUGGAAUGGAGCGUCAUAGAGGGUGAGAAUCCCGUCUUUGGCACGGANACACCAGGGCUUUUGUGAUGCGCUCUCGAAGAGUCGAGUUGUUUGGGAAUGCAGCUCAAAAUGGGUGGUGAACUCCAUCUAAAGCUAAAUAUUGGCGAGAGACCGAUAGCGAACAAGUACCGUGAGGGAAAGAUGAAAAGCACUUUGGAAAGAGAGUGAAACAGUACGUGAAAUUGUUGAAAGGGAAACGCUUGAAGUCAGUCGCGUCGACCGAGACUCAGCCUUGCCUNGGCUUGGUGUACUUCUCGGCUGACGGGUCAGCAUCAAUUUUGCCCCUUGGAUAAUGGCGAGGGAAAUGUGACACCUUUGCGGUGUGUUAUAGUCUCUCGUCGCAUGCAAGGGUCGGGAUUGAGGAACUCAGCACGCGCCUUUGGGCGUCGGGGCUUUGCCCACGAUACGUGCUUAGGAUGUUGGCAUAAUGGCUUUAAACGACCCGUCUUGAAACACGGACCAAGGAGUCUAACAUGCCCGCGAGUGUUCGGGUGGAAAACCCGUGCGCGCAAUGAAAGUGAAAGUUGGGACCUCCGUCGUGGAGGGCACCGACGCCCGGACCAGACCUUCUGUGACGGCUCUGCGGUAGAGCGUGUAUGUUAGGACCCGAAAGAUGGUGAACUAUGCCUGAAUAGGGUGAAGCCAGAGGAAACUCUGGUGGAGGCUCGUAGCGAUUCUGACGUGCAAAUCGAUCGUCAAAUUUGGGUAUAGGGGCGAAAGACUAAUCGAACCAUC